Long non-coding RNA from Culicoides brevitarsis, 718 nucleotides. RefSeq lists it as uncharacterized. The record is from RefSeq and is a predicted model, not a curated record. Lineage: Eukaryota; Metazoa; Arthropoda; Insecta; Diptera; Ceratopogonidae. The transcript has 3 exons.
AAAACAUGUAGAGAACUUCAAUCAGUCGUUACCGUUGUUUUACAGCAGACAGUCAAUAAUUUCUGUAGUGCUGAUCAACAAUAUUUAUUUCUUUGAAAUCCGAAUCUUUGCUCAACCAACCGAACGACAGAAACAAGUUGCCUUAUUUGUUUGUAGAAUUCAAUCUGACAACAAAAAUAGAGAAUUCAUACACGAAGCUUUCUAAAGUAAGACAACAACGUGUGUGCGUAUGUUGAAUAAAAAAAGUAAAUAAGAAUACCGCACAAAAAAAGGUGUAAUGAACUAGAUACCCUUGAAUGUUUGAACUGAAUUCCAUGGAACAGUAGUUCAAAGUCAAGAAUGGAGCCAGAUUACUAUAUUACGGAAGAUGGUUUGCCGAGUAUUUUGCGGACAACUGAAGAUCGGCGACUAUUGGAUCGAAGAUUGACGGACGUGAAGCAGUUUCAGUACAAAAAUCGGCUGGAUCAUGGGUCAAAUGUGGUUGAAGUAGCGAUUGAAAGACCAAUUAGUGCCAAAAGUAUUAAAAAUUUACAGAAUGAAAGACUUAAGAGGGAAAUGGAAGAGCAACGGAUGAGGGAGCAUUCUGUCAACCAAAAGACGCGACCGAAACUGUUGAGACAUCGGAGGUCAAUGAAUGACGAGCUCAGAACACCUCAAAAAACCCUCGUGAACUAGUUUUAAGACAAAAAAAUAAACAUUUUUAACUCACCUGAACAAA